Molecule: long non-coding RNA, 353 nt
Organism: Amblyraja radiata (thorny skate)
Lineage: Eukaryota; Metazoa; Chordata; Chondrichthyes; Rajiformes; Rajidae
Exons: 3
Source: RefSeq, a predicted model, not a curated record
GAUUUAUUACAUAUGGAAUGCUGAAAUUUUAAUAACUUGUAAAGUGAGAACACAAGCAAUAAGUCAUUUUACAAAUUGUAACAAAGAACAAUGUAGCACAUAACUUCACAGCAUGUAAUUGAGAUGAAAAUUCAUCAAACCUUUGUUAAAUGAAACUAUUAAUCUAUUUGGGAAUAAAAGUAAGUAUUAACUUGGGCCGUUGUUUAGAGACUAUCUUGAUGGCCCGCCUUCUGAUUUUGCUGUCUCUUUCUACACAGAAUGUUCAAAAAGCAGGUCAUGACGAAUCAUUGUCAAUGUAUUCAUCCUGGCAUUUACAGAAACCCCGAUUUUGCUUGAUAUCACCUUGUUGGAGA